AAGAAGCGAACCUGCGAAGGCAAGCGGAUCUCUUAAAGCCGUUCUCAGUUCGGACUGUAGGCUGCAACUCGCCUACACGAAGCUGGAAUCGCUAGUAAUCGCGGAUCAGCACGCCGCGGUGAAUACGUUCCCGGGCCUUGUACACACCGCCCGUCACACCAUGAGAGUCUGUAACACCCAAAGCCGGUGGGAUAACCUUUAUAGGAGUCAGCCGUCUAAGGUAGGACAGAUGAUUAGGGUGAAGUCGUAACAAGGUAUC
RNAcentral lists this ribosomal RNA (259 nucleotides) under uncultured bacterium. RNAcentral describes it as "partial 16S ribosomal RNA". It matches the Rfam family "Bacterial small subunit ribosomal RNA", at positions 1244 to 1500 of the family's 1533-position model. The record is from RNAcentral.